This 469-nucleotide ribosomal RNA is filed under the name uncultured bacterium. RNAcentral describes it as "bacterial SSU rRNA". It matches the Rfam family "Bacterial small subunit ribosomal RNA", at positions 30 to 488 of the family's 1533-position model. The record is from RNAcentral.
AUUGAACGCUGGCGGAAUACUUUACACAUGCAAGUCGAACGGCAGCACGGGGCAACCUGGUGGCGAGUGGCGAACGGGUGAGUAAUACAUCGGAACGUGCCCAAUCGUGGGGGAUAACGUAGCGAAAGUUACGCUAAUACCGCAUACGAUCUACGGAUGAAAGCGGGGGAUCGCAAGACCUCGCGCGAAUGGAGCGGCCGAUGUCAGAUUAGGUAGUUGGUGGGGUAAAGGCUCACCAAGCCAACGAUCUGUAGCUGGUCUGAGAGGACGACCAGCCACACUGGAACUGAGACACGGUCCAGACUCCUACGGGAGGCAGCAGUGGGGAAUUUUGGACAAUGGGCGCAAGCCUGAUCCAGCCAUUCCGCGUGCAGGAUGAAGGCCUUCGGUUGGUAACUAGUCUUUGUUACGGUAACGGAACGGACGGGCGUCUAAUACAGUUGUCGUAAUAGACGGUACCGUAAGAAGU